RNAcentral lists this ribosomal RNA (351 nucleotides) under Triticum aestivum (bread wheat). RNAcentral describes it as "partial small subunit ribosomal RNA". Lineage: Eukaryota; Viridiplantae; Streptophyta; Magnoliopsida; Poales; Poaceae. The record is from RNAcentral.
AUGAGUAAGGCACCAAAGAUGACUGGAAGCACUCAAAAAGUUUACCACGUUGGAGCUAUGUCAGGUUGUACAAGGGCAGUUAAUGAAUAUACUUGCGUUCCUUUUACUCUUAGUUUCAAGAAGACAUUAUUUGAUGUUAGAUGGCCAUUAUGUUCGUGUCAUGUGGACAGAGGACUAAUGGUACUCUUCCAUGAAGAGAAGCAAAUGGAUCAGUAUGUAGUAGCAGGUGCUUUGGAAAGUACAACUGUACAAUUAUGCGACAUAAUAAUGCCUGGAAAUUGGCCUAUGGCUGUAUCAUUUAAGAUAUUUUGGCGUCUCUGCCAUCCGAUGGUUGUUCAACUUCUCUUUUGA